GCCGGCGCGGUGGCGUGUGCCUGUAGUCCUGUGGCCCCAGCUACUUGGGAGGCUGAGGUGGGAGGAUCGCUUGAGCCCAGGAGUUCUGGACUGUAGUGCGCUACACCGAUUGGGUGUCCACACUAAGUUUGGUAUAAAUAUGGUGACCUCCUGGGAGCAGGGGACCACCAAGUUGCCUAAGGAGGGGUGAACCAGCCCAGGUUAGAAACGGAGCAGGUCAAAACUCCCGUGCUGAUCAGUAGUGAGAUUGUGCCUGUGAAUAGCCACUGCACUCCAGCCUGGGCAACAUAGCAAGACCCCGUCUCU
RNAcentral lists this signal recognition particle RNA (306 nucleotides) under Cebus imitator (Panamanian white-faced capuchin). RNAcentral's name for it is "Metazoan signal recognition particle RNA (ENSCCAG00000009284.1)". It matches the Rfam family "Metazoan signal recognition particle RNA". From Rfam's summary of the family: The signal recognition particle (SRP) is a universally conserved ribonucleoprotein. It is involved in the co-translational targeting of proteins to membranes. The eukaryotic SRP consists of a 300-nucleotide 7S RNA and six proteins: SRPs 72, 68, 54, 19, 14, and 9. Lineage: Eukaryota; Metazoa; Chordata; Mammalia; Primates; Cebidae. The record is from RNAcentral.